CCAUAUUUACCUGGCUAACAAGUGGACCUUUCCCUCAUACCGGUUCCCUUCCCAAACCCUGCAUUACCUGCCCUGCAAUGAAGCAUCCUCAGGAAAAGUAAAAUCAGACCAACAUUUCUGUUGACAGACAACGUCAGAACGAUUCGGUGUGACUGAAAGAACCAAACGAUCUAUGUCUUCGGGGAAACAGGAGGUGUUCCUUCUACACUGGAAGUCGUGCACCGUGGAGGCGGAGCGAGGGAGAAGGUGGAGGGGAUCCUCAACAUCUGUAUCAGGCCAGGCAAACACUGGUUAAGUGUCUGUUAAAUGGACAAGUGGAGAAAUAUACUUAAAAAAAAAAAUGUCUGGAUUUCCAAACAUCUUCUCAGCGAUUUACCUGUGACAGGGGAUAUGGAAGCUACUAGUCACAUAUCCCACAUUUACCAGGGCAGAUGCGCACGGAGACACCCGUGAGACCAGAACCUUUGCUGCAGCUAAAUGCCAGUGGACAAGAGCCAAGGGUCAUGACAUCCUGUGCCGCAGAUGGCAGGAAGGUCAAGGGCUACCAGGGAAACGGCAGGUGAGGCCCAAAGUCAGCCAUGAGGGAGCGUCCGUCGUCAAGAGCCUCAAAGCCCAAUACCCCCUGUCCAGCUAGCUACCUAACAAUACUGAAAGGAAGCAGGUGAGGAUUCUGAGAUUCUCUUAGCUUCAUCCUGAGUUCAGAUCUUGUAGCCGGUAGGCUGACAGGCUCAUCAGUGCUGACUUGGUUUCUGAUCCUUUGACGGUUACCCUGCUGAUGGAAUUAACUUCUUCUUUGAGUCUGAAGUGUUGUCCAUUCAACCCUAACGUUCUUUUUUUGGGGAAAGGGUUGAAACUAGACGUCAGAACAUUUAUCUCAUUCACACCUGUCAUCUUGGGCCAGGAAACAAGCUAGCUGCUAAGCCAAGCACGGUUAGAAAAAAAUCACUGUUGGCAAGCAGACUUGAACCCAUAAAACUGGAGAGAAGAAAGUUGGUUUCAGGGCUGGAGAGACAGCUCAGGCUCCUCUUCCAGAGGUCCUGAGUUCAAUUCCC
Molecule: long non-coding RNA, 1052 nt
Organism: Peromyscus leucopus (white-footed mouse)
Lineage: Eukaryota; Metazoa; Chordata; Mammalia; Rodentia; Cricetidae
Exons: 3
Source: RefSeq, a predicted model, not a curated record